UACUGAAACAUUUAGAAGACAGAGAUUUAUUCUGAAAUAUAUAAAAAUUUAAUGAAGGAAAUACAGAAAUUAUUUAUUUAUAAGCAAAAAUACAGAAUACUUUUCUAAAGAAAAAAAUAAUGAGAAAUUCCACAGUAGUAACAGACUUUAUUCUUCUUAGAUUGACAAGUGACCCACAGUGGCAGAUCCCCAUCUGCAGACUCCCAUGUAUUUCUUCCUUCAGAACUUCUCAUUCCUGGAAAUUUCAUUCAUGUCUGUCUGCAUUCCCAGAUUCCUUGUCACCAUUGUGACAGGAGACAGAACCAUUUCUUAUAAUGGGUGUGUGGCUCAGCUAUUUUUUUUCAUCUUCUUGGGGGUGACAGAAUUUUACCUUCUGGCUGCCAUGUCCUGUGACCGCUGCGUGGCCAUCUGCAAACCUCUUCAUUACACAAUCAUCAUGAGCACCAGAGUGUGUACCCUUCUUGUCUUUAGCUCCUGGCUUGCAGGGUUUCUGAUCAUCUUUCCACCAGUAAUGCUUCUGCUGCAGUUGGAUUUCUGUGCCUCCAAUGUAAUUGAUCAUUUUAUCUGUGACUCUUCUCCAAUGCUGCAGCUCUCUUGCACAAACACUCACUUUCUAGAACUCAUGGCAUUUUUUUUAGCUGUGGUAACAUUGAUGGUCACCUUGACAUUAGUUGUUCUCUCCUACACAAACAUCAUCUGGACGAUUCUGAAAAUUUCUUCUAUGAGUCAAAGGAAAAAAGCCUUUUCCACUUGCUCCUCCCAUAUGAUAGUUGUCUCCAUCUCUUACGGUAGCUGCAUCUUCAUGUACAUUAAGACUUCUGCCAGAGAAAGGGUGACUUUAAGCAAAGGAGUAGCUGUGCUCAAUACCUCAGUGGCUCCUCUCUUGAAUCCCUUCAUAUACACACUGAGAAAUCAGCAAGUGAAGCAAGCCUUCAAGAGCAUGGUCCAGAAGAUGAUCUUUUCUUUAAAUAAAUGAAUGUGAUUAUGUAAAAAAUGUACCCCCAAAGGCAAAGCCGAAUGAAAAACUCUCUACCCUUCUCUACAUAAACUCUUUCUAAACACCUUAUUUCACACUUUUAGUUAGACAUAGUUACAUAUCAUCAACACUUCUUAAUGAAAUUAGCCUAAAAACCAAGAUUUAACUCUUCUAAACUAUAUAGAAAGUGUUCAAUCUCUCACCUAUGUAACCAAAUUUUAGGUAAAUUAAUAAUCACUAUUGUUUAUUAUAUAAAGGCAAAAUAGAUUCUUAAUUCAUGCAUAAAAUAGAGGUAGCUAUAAAUUAAAAACUUACUAAAAC
Molecule: small RNA, 1297 nt
Filed under: Pongo abelii (Sumatran orangutan)
Lineage: Eukaryota; Metazoa; Chordata; Mammalia; Primates; Hominidae
Description: processed transcript
Source: RNAcentral